This 378-nucleotide ribosomal RNA is filed under the name uncultured bacterium. RNAcentral's name for it is "partial 16S ribosomal RNA". It matches the Rfam family "Bacterial small subunit ribosomal RNA", at positions 338 to 733 of the family's 1533-position model. The record is from RNAcentral.
CCUACGGGAGGCAGCAGUGGGGAAUAUUGCACAAUGGGGGAAACCCUGAUGCAGCAACGCCGCGUGGAUGAAGAAGGUUUUCGGGUUGUAAAGUUCUUUCAGCAGGGAAGAAAAUGACGGUAUCUAACCACUCCGCACCGGCUAACUCCGUCCCAGCAGCCGCGGUAAUACGGAGGGGGCAAGCGUUAAUCGGAAGGACUGGGCGUAAAGUGAGCGUAGGCGGGAUAGCAAGUCAGGAGUGAAAUCCUGGGGCUGAACCAGAGAACUGCAUUGGAAACUGUGAGUCUGGAGUACAGGAGAGGUAGGUGGAAUUCCUGGUGUAGCGGUGAAAUGCGUAGAGAUCAGGAGGAAUACCGGUGGCGAAGGCGGCCUGCUGGA